Long non-coding RNA from Anser cygnoides (Swan goose), 1986 nucleotides. Lineage: Eukaryota; Metazoa; Chordata; Aves; Anseriformes; Anatidae. The record is from Ensembl.
UCAAUCAUCUCCAUUUUACAGACCUGGGGAACCCAGGCGGCAGGCAGUGAGGGAACGUGCCUGUGGCCACGUACAACCCGCAGCCCCCUCCGCAGCGCUCUUUCUUCCCGGGUGCUGCCUCCCACCCCUGUUCAGCCUUCGCCCUCCUUGCCCUGUCUCCCAGCACUGCCUGCCUUUGCUCCCACUGCUGUUGCAGGCAGAGCGAGCCAGAAGCAAGCUGCUGCUGUGUGCUGGGGUGCAGCCCCUGUCCCCUACCUGCCUGACGUGACUCCGAGCCGUGCGGAGGGGGCAGCUCUCUUCUGGCCUGCCACCACCUAGUCAGAGACCAUCGAGUUCCACGUGGCCUCCCUUCACUCACGGGCUGGAGGGAUGUGACCGGGCUCGGGUAAUCCUCUUUUCAGGUGCAGGCUACCUGCCUUGCUGGUGAUUUAUUUUACCGUGGAUUUAUUUCACCAUGGUUCCCUCUGGGAUAAAAUACUCCUGCCUGAGUAACAGGAAUGGACACAGACAAGAGAACAGAAUUCACCUCCAGCCUGCUGCCAGGUGAACUCUGGCUUCCAUGAUCACCUCUCUGGGUUAACACGGUCACCCCAAACCAGACCGAGCUGAGACCAGCCCUGCUCCCACUUGCCUUGCCACAGCCCACAGGCAUGCCCAGAAAGCUCAGCUGAAGUUGCUCAAGCAUUACAUCUGCAGCACAGGUGGUCCAGCCAAGCAGGGAACGGGGCUGAAUUUGGCUGUGUUCAGCCAGCCGGGGCUGUGUCCCUUUGGGUACGAAGCACGUUGCCCAGGCAGCCUGGAGACGGAGCCCAGUUUUGGCAGAAGAAGCACAGGGGGGCCCUGCCCGGCUGGUGGGGUGACAGACGUGUAAAGCUACACAGGAGCCGUAUUGCUACAGCAGCAACGAACAACCUGGAAAACAAACUUCUCUGACGGAUGUGGAUAAAAUAGAACGGGCAGCAACUGUUCUCCUGCCAAAGGUGCCACCAGAAGGUCAUGGAGCAGCAAGAUGGUGGCAAAAGGAACAAAAACCACACAGCCCUUCAGAGCAGGAGGCAAAGCAGUGUCCUCUGCUGGCUCCUGCAGCUGAGGAAAAUUCCUAUUUACGCAGACAGUUGGUUCUGAGUUUUUUUUUUUCCCCCAGCUUUAGCUGUAAUUGGACUCGCAAGCAACAGGAUGCUCAUCUCCAGCAGGGACACGGGCACGAGCUUCAGCGCUACGCUGCUAAGUCCAGGGGCGUCUCCUGGCCUUUCAGAGCGGCUGUAACUGGAGCACGGAGCCGGGGACAGGAGAUCGCCCAGAUGCUAUUCCACCUCUCGCCUCUCGGUCUUCCACUGCCCAUUUCCACAGGAGCCAAACCAGGUACAGAGACCUGCUCUCCACUGCGGAACAUCACGUACACCAAGCGCAAGGAGAAAUGGAAGCGUUCUCCAAGCUGCGGGGUCAGGGCUAUCUAUAAACGAGCACGCACAAGAAAAGGAGGCAGCCCUUAGCAGCAGGAGCUGUAAAGAUCAUUGAUGGCAAUAGGUCUCCAGGUUCUCCUCACCAUCCUUCUUUAUAGCACAGCAACGCUGAGACAUCCUCCGGGUGUCCUUGUGUACAGUGAAAAACUCUUCGGUGAAGAGGUUAUAGGGAACACCUCUGGGACCCUGGGCAAGUUCUGUCUCUUCCUCUCCGAGGUGAGGCUUACUGCAGGCUUUGUGUGUGGUGUUUGUGAUUUGAGAGCCCUCGGUGGAGGACGCUCUGUGAGCAUGAUGCUACUGAAAGCCCCCUCUGCGAAGGUGACAUGGGAGUCUGACAGGCCUCAAAGGGGAAAAAAAACACUUGUGUAAAUCAUAUGUCGGACACAGGCAGAGCUCGGGGCUGUCGUUCUAUGUACUUCUCUCCACAAUCAGCUUCUCUCUGCAGAGUUAAUAACAUCCUUAAACCAAGCAAGAUCACUUAAAAAAAAAUAAAAUAGACCCAAGCAAUUCCGAUCUGGGAAGC